GAUGAACGCUGGCGGCGUGCUUAACACAUGCAAGUCGAACGGAAAGGCCCUGCUUUUGUGGGGUUCUCGAGUGGCGAACGGGUGAGUAACACGUGAGUAACCUGCUCUUGACUUUGGGAUAACUUCAGGUAACUGGGGCUAAUACCGGAUAGGAGCUCCUGCUGCAUGGUGGGGGUUGGAUAGUUUCGGCGGUUGGGGAUGGAUUCGCGGCUUAUCAGCUUGUUGGUGGGGUAGUGGCUUACCAAGGCUUUGACGGGUAGCCGGCAUGAGAGGGUGACCGGCCACAAGGGGACUGAGAGACGGAGCAGACUCGUACGGGAGGCAGCAGUGGGGAAUAUUGCACAAUGGGCGGGAGCCUGAGGCAGCAACGCCGCGGGCGGGAUGACGGCCUUCGGGUUGUGAACCGCUUUCGCCUGUGACGAAGCGUGAGUGACGGUAAUGGGUAAAGAAGCACCGGCUAACUACGUG
RNAcentral lists this ribosomal RNA (468 nucleotides) under uncultured bacterium. RNAcentral's name for it is "partial 16S ribosomal RNA". It matches the Rfam family "Bacterial small subunit ribosomal RNA", at positions 28 to 507 of the family's 1533-position model. The record is from RNAcentral.